This 37-nucleotide ribosomal RNA is filed under the name Rhizopogon parksii. RNAcentral describes it as "partial 28S ribosomal RNA". The record is from RNAcentral. RNAcentral also lists the same sequence under 9 other names. Lineage: Eukaryota; Fungi; Basidiomycota; Agaricomycetes; Boletales; Rhizopogonaceae.
GACCUCAAAUCAGGUAGGACUACCCGCUGAACUUAAG